Molecule: long non-coding RNA, 544 nt
Filed under: Sus scrofa (pig)
Lineage: Eukaryota; Metazoa; Chordata; Mammalia; Artiodactyla; Suidae
Description: lncRNA (ENSSSCG00050067809.1)
Source: RNAcentral
AAACAGGAUUUUCCUUGGCUCUUCACCUGAGAAUCUGGGGGUACAACACAUGACAGCAUGGGGCUCCCCUAAGACUGUGGUCCCAGGCAUUUCGCCUCUCCAACUCGCCCACCUGUCACCCAGUGUGGACAUCGCCACCUCUGCGUCCCUGCCAUUUCCGGCUGCAGUGCUUCUCCCCAGUGUCCAGGUGGCCCGAGGGCGGCACGUGGAGGUCGGCUGCUUUUUCCUAAGACCUGUUUUGCUCCUGCCUCGUGGAGGAACAGCCCAUGGUGCUCCUCCGUGUGUUUGGCUCCGUGGACGACGGAAUAGUGAGCCCCGAGUGUUCUUCGUCAGCAGUUUUAAUGAGGAGAGACUCGCGAGGAUCUGCUUCCGCUUCACCCCAGAGCAGACCCGGAGGAAGAACGUUUUCUGCAUCCGGAAAAUUCUGCAACCCUGGGGAGGCCGCCUUCUUCGGAGCCCGCCCUCCCCAGCCGUUUACCAGGCUGCCUUCUUGAUGACAGACCGAACAUGUGAAACUUUGGGCGACAAGGAGGCUGAUCAUUAG